GAUGAAGAACGUAGUGAAAUGCGAUAAGUAAUGUGAAUUGCAGAAUUCAGUGUAUCAUCGAAUCUUUGAACGCACAUUGCGCCCGCCAGUAUUCUGGCGGGCAUGCCUGUUCGAGCGUCAUUACAACCCUCAGGCCCCCGGGCCUGGCGUUGGGGAUCGGCGGAAGCCCCCUGCGGGCACAACGCCGUCCCCCAAAUACAGUGGCGGUCCCGCCGCAGCUUCCAUUGCGUAGUAGCUAACACCUCGCAACUGGAGAGCGGCGCGGCCACGCCGUAAAACACCCAACUUCUGAAUGUUGACCUCGAAUCAGGUAGGAAUACCCGCUGAACUUAAGCAUAUCAAUAAGCGGAGGA
RNAcentral lists this unclassified non-coding RNA (353 nucleotides) under soil metagenome. Its description in RNAcentral is "partial contains 5.8S ribosomal RNA, internal transcribed spacer 2, and large subunit ribosomal RNA". The stretch from base 1 to 120 matches the Rfam family "5.8S ribosomal RNA", at positions 35 to 154 of the family's 154-position model. The record is from RNAcentral.